This 555-nucleotide long non-coding RNA is filed under the name Homo sapiens (human). RNAcentral's name for it is "non-protein coding lnc-MON2-2:4". Lineage: Eukaryota; Metazoa; Chordata; Mammalia; Primates; Hominidae. The record is from RNAcentral.
GUAAGAUGGCGGCGCGGGGGGCGGCCUGGCGGGGCGGUCACGUGGUGAGGAGUAGCGCGCGAGCCUCCUUAAGUGAUCUCUAAGGUUCAAGAGAUUCUCCUGCCUCAGCCUCCCAAGUAAUUGGAAUUACAGGCCCAUGCCACCCCACCCGGCCAAUUUUUUUUGUAUUUUUAGUAGAGAUGGGGUUUUGCCAUGUUGGCCAGGCUGGUCUCAAACUCCUGACCUCAAGUGAUCCGCCAGCCUCGGCCUCCCAAAGUGCUGGGAUUACAGGCACGAGCCACCAUGCCGGACCUAUUAGUGUAUUUACUGGAUAUCAAGAUGACUAAGAAAUAGCACUUGCCUUGAAGGAGCUUUUCUAUUUGAGGAAAAAGACAUGUAUAUAAAUAACUGCAAACAGAAUGAAACAAGUGUUAUGUAGAUCUACAUACAGUGACAUGCCAUGGGAAUGCUGAACACUGAGCAACAGUUUCAACUAGCGAAUUGGCACAGGAAACAUGAAAAAUAAGCGUAUUUUCAAUAUGACAAGAAUGGUCAUUUCUGGAUAUAAGAACAAGA